Molecule: ribosomal RNA, 357 nt
Filed under: uncultured bacterium
Lineage: Bacteria
Description: partial 16S ribosomal RNA
Rfam family: Bacterial small subunit ribosomal RNA
Source: RNAcentral
CCUACGGGAGGCAGCAGUAGGGAAUAUUGCUCAAUGGGGGAAACCCUGAAGCAGCAACGCCGCGUGGAGGAUGAAGGUUUUCGGAUUGUAAACUCCUUUUGUUAGAGAAGAUAAUGACGGUAUCUAACGAAUACUCACCGGCUAACUCCGUGCCAGCAGCCGCGGUCAUACGGAGGGUGCAAGCGUUACUCGGAAUCACUGGGCGUAAAGAGCGCGUAGGCGGGAUAGCAAGUCAGAGGUGAAAUCCUAUGGAUUAACCAUAGAACUGCAUUUGAAACUGUUAUUCUAGAGUGGGGGAGAGGGAGGUGAAAGUCGUGGGGGAGGGGGAAAAGCCGGAAAGACAAAGAGGAAUACGCA